AACGCACAUUGCGCCCCCUGGUAUUCCGGGGGGCAUGCCUGUCCGAGCGUCAUUGCAACCUUCAAGCGCGGCUUGUGUAUUGGGCCUCGUCCCCUCGUGGACGGGCCUGAAAGGCAGUGGCGGUGCUGAUUUUGGUGCCUGAGCGUAUGGGGAUCAUCUCCGCUCUUUAGGCCCGGUCGGCGCCCGUCGUAACCAAAUUUUUUACCGGUUGACCUCGGAUCAGGUAGGGAUACCCGCUGAACUUAA
RNAcentral lists this unclassified non-coding RNA (246 nucleotides) under uncultured Auxarthron. RNAcentral describes it as "sequence contains ITS2". The stretch from base 1 to 52 matches the Rfam family "5.8S ribosomal RNA", at positions 103 to 154 of the family's 154-position model. Lineage: Eukaryota; Fungi; Ascomycota; Eurotiomycetes; Onygenales. The record is from RNAcentral.